Sander lucioperca (pikeperch) is the source of this 1929-nucleotide long non-coding RNA. RefSeq lists it as uncharacterized. The record is from RefSeq and is a predicted model, not a curated record. The transcript has 2 exons. Lineage: Eukaryota; Metazoa; Chordata; Actinopteri; Perciformes; Percidae.
CCUUUGUAACACCAGAUCAUUUUUUAAAUUUUGUUUCAAUGGUGAUUUACAGUUUUACCGGGCUUUUUCAAUGUAAAAAAAAAGCCACACUAGAGUGUUGCUUACUGUGCUCCAGGCUGCAACAACAAGCGCCUGGAAGUAAAGUGGCUGCUACCGAAACCAAAACUUGCGCGUGUUAAAUUUGGAUCCCGAUGAUCAGAUCCGAAACCAAAUUUUUCCAAACUAUUCCAAUAAAAAAAUUGUUGGGACCGGUUCUCGAUGCCCAAUCCUAGUGACAGCAGAGGUUGUGUUUUAUUUGGGGGUAUUUGCCCUGGAUCUGGACCAUGGGUGGACAACCCUUCAUCAGAACAGUGGGGAUUAGGGGGCAUGUUCUGUGAAUGAGGCCUGGAAGCAGCAACCAGUAAGAUGGGUACGCUGGAUGAGCAGGGGGCAUGGAGGUCAACAGGGGGCAAACAGUGGGUGUGGGCCAGGGUGAUAGCAUUUUAGACUAAAGCGUGGUUUAUGCUUCUGCUUACAGAAGUUUGUUUCUCUCACUAUGACUCUAGAGUCACUACUCACUCUGAAGCUAAUCACCAUCACUCUCUCACUCACUCUACCACACACACACACACACACACACACACACACACACACACACAUGCCAAAGAGAUCGACGCACACACCAACGCAAAAAGUAUAAACUUAAGGCCACUUACGUAUGCUCCGCCGAAAGCUCUGCGUGGAGCAUCCGCAGAAGCAUAAAUCACGCUUUAGGCCGUGUGCAUGGACAGGUUCAAAAGUGCCAUCCAGUUCUAAUAUAAUGAUGAGUUUUUGUCACAUAAUUGACUAAAUGCCUAUUCCAAGUUGCUGCUCUCUUGGAGGAAACAGCAUACAUUACCUCAAAUAGUAUCAUAAACUGAGGGGCAAAUUUACAAAGAAUUGCCCUUUUUUCUGAUUUCAAUUAUCCAUGUGGCAAAGUAUAAAUGUGGCCUUUGUGCCAAGAACAAAGUCAGCAGAACAAUAGCAGAGAGAAAAGGAAAAAUAAAAUGUUAAGACCGCGAGCUACAGGUCCUGACAGAAGAGUUGCUGCGGCAUUCCUCAAAACUUUAGGCAAGGAAUUUAAAGGUGACAGAGAGAUUAAAUAUCCCAGCCUGUCAGUGCUGUUUUUGUUUUCAAAUGCACACCUUCUGACUGAAAAGGAAGAGGACUUAAAGCAGAGGACACUAGACAGUGGGCAACAGUUUACGUCCUCUUGCCUGUUUACGGCUUUGGGUCAGCUCUGUGCGUUGCUGUUCUGUAAUUCUAACUAGUCAGCAAAUAAAUGGACAAACGGUAACUGCUUCAAACGAGGAUUCUUUACUUGCAGAAUUUCAGGCGUGAACAGGCAUUGCAUCUCAAAAAAAACCUUGCUCUUUUUUUCAUUUACGUCAAUUCCUAAACGUAAUCCGCACUGCAUUAUGGGCAAUGUAGUAUUACUCAAUGUAACCUUUUAAUCAACAAUUUACAUCAAUAAGGAAUGACGCAUUUAUGUAUCUCCUUGAACAUAUUCAAUCAGUAACUCAAAUUCAAAGUGCUUAACACCCCUAACAAUAAACAUUAAGUUGCAACAGUUGCUAUGGUUGUUGUACACAAACCCACUAGCCAAAAGUUUGCAAGGCAGAGAUGCAUGCCCAGAAGAAAAAUCCCAGAUGUCUGCUUCAGUUACCACUUACUCUCUGAGGACGCUAAUAAUUUCCUUUUAACUGUACGUGUCCACAGGGGCGUUUGUGUGUAGUGAAGUGUAUAUUUAUUGAGUUCCAAAGAAUCAAACAAUCAACGAUGAAGGUCAUAAUAUAAAUAUGUACUUCUUACCAACUUCAACACUCAAUACAGAACACAUUCUCCACACACACAAGAGAACCAAAAAAUAACAAAAUUAUAGAUUUCAAAACAGACCAACAUGGCGGCUCG